GGUGAGGUGGCCGAGUUGGUUAUGGCGCCAGGUUAAGGUUUAUCUUAACAACAAUUCCUGGUGGGGCAACCCGCGCGAGUUCGAGUCUCGUCCUCAUCA
This 99-nucleotide transfer RNA is filed under the name Diplodia corticola. Its description in RNAcentral is "Botryosphaeria corticola tRNA". It matches the Rfam family "tRNA". From Rfam's summary of the family: Transfer RNA (tRNA) molecules are approximately 80 nucleotides in length. Lineage: Eukaryota; Fungi; Ascomycota; Dothideomycetes; Botryosphaeriales; Botryosphaeriaceae. The record is from Rfam by way of RNAcentral.